AUACGGAGGAUCCAAGCGUUAUCCGGCUUUAUUGGGUUUAAAGGGUGCGCAGGCGGUAUUAUAAGUCAGUGGUGAAAUCUGGAGGCUCAACCUCCAAACUGCCAUUGAUACUGUAGUACUAGAGUACAGCCGAAGUAGGCGGAAUGUAGCAUGUAGCGGUGAAAUGCUUAGAUAUGCUACAGAACACCGAUCGCGAAGGCAGCUUACUAGACUGUUACUGACGCUAAUGCACGAAAGCGUGGGGAGCGAACAGGAUUAGAGACCCUAGUAGUCC
RNAcentral lists this ribosomal RNA (274 nucleotides) under uncultured bacterium. RNAcentral describes it as "partial 16S ribosomal RNA". It matches the Rfam family "Bacterial small subunit ribosomal RNA", at positions 523 to 796 of the family's 1533-position model. The record is from RNAcentral.